UCAGAUACAGCCACUGCUCCGGAGUCAGUGCUGCGACCACUUUAUAUGGAUGUGCAAGCCACAACUCCUCUGGACCCUCAGGUACUUGAUGCCAUGCUCCCUUACCUAGUCAACUAUUAUGAGAACCCACUCUCCCGGACACAUGCUUAUGGAUGGGAGAGUGAGGCAGCCAUGGAACAUGCUGGUCAGCAAAUAGCAUCUCUGAUUAGGGCUGAUCCUGGUGAGAUCAGUUUCACUAGCGGUGCUACUGAAUCCAACAAUAUAGCAAUUAAGGGGGUGGGCAGGUUCUAUAGGUCACGGAAAAAGCAUGUGAUCACUACCCAGAUGGAACACAAAUGUGUCCUGCCCUUCACUAGAAGCUGAGGGCUUUCAGGUCACCUACCUCCCGGUGCAGAAGAGUGGAAUAAUCGACCUCAAGGAACUAGAGGCUGCUAUCCAGCCAGACACUGGUCUGGUUUCAAUCAUGACUGUGAACAAUGAGAUUGGAGUGAAGCAGCCUAUUGCAGAAAUAGGGCACAUUUGCAGUUCCAGAAAGGUUUAUUUCCAUACUGAUGCAGCUCAGGCGGUUGGAAAAGUUCCACUUGAUGUCAAUGACAUGAAAAUUGAUCUCAUGAGCAUCAGAAGUCACAAAAUCUAUGGUCCCAAAGGAGUUGGUGCCAUCUAUGUCCGUCUCCAGCCCCAUUGGCGUGUAGAGGCCCUGCAGAGUGGAGCGGGGUAUGCGUCUAGGACAGUGCCCACACCCUUAGUGGUGGGGCUGGGGGCUGCAUGUGAGGUGGCACAGCAAGAAAUGGAGUAUGACCACAAGCGCAUCUCAAAGUCAUCUGAACGUUUGAUACAGAAGAUAAUGAAGAGCCUUCCAGAUGUGAUGAAUGGGGACCCUGAACACCAUUACCCUGGCUACAUCAACCUCUCCUUUGCAUAUGUGGAAGGGAGAGUCUGCUGAUGGUACUGAAGGAUGUUGCCCUAUCCUCAGGAAGUGUCUGAACCUCUGCGUCCCUGGAGCCUUCUUACGUUCUGAGAGCAAUUGGCACUGAUAAGGAUUUAGCACAUUCUUCUAUCAGGUUUGGCAUCGGCCGCUUCACUACAGAGGAGGAAGUGGACUAUACAGCAGAAAAGUGCAUUCAGCAUGUGGAGCGUCUUCAGGAAAUGAGCUCUCUCUGGGAGAUGGUUCAAGAUGGCAUUGACCUCAAAAGCAUCAAGUGGACCCAACACUAGAAGAGUGGUCCCCUGACUUUAUGCUGGGCUAGUCCUUCCUGCCUCACC
RNA transcript from Nycticebus coucang (slow loris), 1263 nucleotides. It is a transcript of the gene named cysteine desulfurase-like, with no coding region annotated. Lineage: Eukaryota; Metazoa; Chordata; Mammalia; Primates; Lorisidae. The transcript has a single exon. The record is from RefSeq and is a predicted model, not a curated record.